CUACUACCAAAAGAUAUCCCAGCAACUCGAAAAGGACCUUUAGCUGAAACACUGCUAAAAUAAGUUUCAAGAUGUUUAGCUUAAACAGUAAGUCCAAGUAGUAACACCUAGGUCUUCAAACAAUUACUAAUUUCAAACACUUCCACUACCUUUCUUGCUUGAGAAAAUUCUAAGUAAAAAGUUAUGAAUAAUUUGAUGUGAGCUCCAACUUAAGAAGAUUAAGAGGAAGAGUCCAGGAAAUACCAAUUACGUAAGAAAAUUGUUCUCAAUUCAAAAUUCAUUUAACGACUGAAUAUUUAUAGCAGCAGCACACAGAGUGUCCAAUAUCCAAAUAGCAUUCAUGUCCCUUAAUACCUAAUAUCUAUACUAACAUAACACUCCACAUCUUCAAGACAUCAUAUGGGAUUAAACAACGUAGAUGAAAAAACAGUGUUUAUACAUAUUGAAAACCAAAUCAAAUACACAAAUCAACUAGCUCAAAAGGUAAAAAUGCAUUGUUUAAACCCCUGCUCAGUUACAAAUCUCAACUUGAAUAAGCAAAAUUCAUGUUCAUCCAUUCCCAUACAUUAGGAGGUGAAGUAUAUACCUCGAUUUUAAAACAAACAUAAAUUGAUGGUCUAGCAGCAGAGCAACAAAGUCAGCUCAGAAACAACAUGGAAAAUCAGUUUUGAACCAAAUUUAAAUCAGUAGAAAUGGUAAGCGAGACCCAGUAAUCAGAAACACUACCCAAAACAUGAACCAAACUCUCGAAGUUCAACCAAAAUCAGAGCAUUUCAAUCAGAGAGAGUAGGAAAAAUAUUUCAGUAAUUGAAAAACUUCAGAAAUCAAAAGAGAAUGCAACGAAAUAGUAUUUUCGUCUGAUUUUUAACCAUUUUAUGAUUUUUCUAAAUUAUUAGCUCUCCAAGUCUUGCCUUGAAAGGCAAGAAUGAGAUGCCUUUAUAGGCAAGGCCAUAGGGCAACCCUCAGAUUUUAUUUCUUUCAAUUGUACCCUUUUUCAAUUUUUAUUUUUGCUACUUAGCCCCCCAUGUAGUGCCUUGUUAACCAAGCUAAAAUUUGAAAUUUAAAUGCAGACCCCUACUAGAAACUUUCCUUUUUUGUUACUCUGAGAUUUCCCAACCUAGAUUGCCCAAAUUAACCUUUUAACCUCUAAAAAUUACCCUAAAAACUAUCGUGGGUCAAAUUGCCCAGACUAAUGGAUCUGCAUAACCAAACUCAAUCCCUACCCCAUUCUCCUUUUGGCCUUAUGAAUUUCAGAAACCCAAUCUAGCCCUAGCCAUUAACAAAAGUUUGACGGGCUAAUCAAAAAUUUUCCAAAAAGAACCAAAAAACUUUAUAGAUGAAGCAAGAACAAAAGAAAAUACGAAAUAAAAUUAUUAAACCAAAUAAGUUAAAUUUGUUAUUAACUGAUCAUGUAGAAGAUGACCACAUAGCAAAGAAAAGAGAAACAAAAUAGAAAAAGUGAUAAAAACAUCUUAAUCAAAAAGGAAAUAAAAUUGCAAGAAUAAUGAUAAGAUAUUGGACAAUACCUAAAGAGACCGGACGGGCUUAAACUUGAAUUAAUUCUUCAAACUUUCAAAUCUUGAUUCACUCUGAGGUUAAGCAUGUGCUUUCUCACAAAAACCCUUGAACAACCACAAAAUGAACCAAAAAUCUUGACGAACACUUCAAUUGGAAAGCUUCGGAUUUUUAAGGUCAGACUAGAUUUAAGAUUCGAGGAUUUUCGAGGUUAUUCGAGGGAAACCCACAUGGUAUUUGGGAUGGGGAGGCCUGGUGCUCACCUGGUGUUAUUUUGGGGUUGAACGGAAGCGGUGCCGCCACCAGAGAAAUUGUGGCGGCACUAGGGUUUACGAUUUAAAAUUAAAUUUGAAGGAUUUGGAAGGGUUUCGGGGUAAGCUGGUUAUAGAAUGGGUAUGAGGAGGUUGAGGUGGGCUUGUUGUGUAACUUUUGUGGCAAUUGGGCACUCGUCGCCGUCGUGAGGCGAUUUUUGGCGGCUGUGGAUGGUGGCACUACAUAGGGUAGUCUAGAGACGAGAUUGAGGGGGUAGGGGGUGUUUGGACAUUUUUAUACUUCCCAUGGGAUCAGUUCUCUACUGUUGAUCUGAUCGAGAUCGAACGGCUCAGAACCAAG
Molecule: long non-coding RNA, 2127 nt
Filed under: Nicotiana benthamiana
Lineage: Eukaryota; Viridiplantae; Streptophyta; Magnoliopsida; Solanales; Solanaceae
Description: long non-coding RNA (NBEN_LNC028109)
Source: RNAcentral